Molecule: non-coding RNA, 148 nt
Filed under: Homo sapiens (human)
Lineage: Eukaryota; Metazoa; Chordata; Mammalia; Primates; Hominidae
Source: Rfam by way of RNAcentral
GCCAGGCGUGGUGGUGCACGCCUGUAGUCCCAUUCACUCAGGAGGCUGAGGCAGGAGGAUCACUUGAGCCCAGGAGGCAGAGGUUGCAGUGAGCUAUGACUGUACCACUGCACUCCAGCCUAGGCAACAGAGUGAGACCUUGUCUCAA